CCCUUAGAUGUUCUGGGCCGCACGCGUGCUACACUGAGUGGAUCAGCGGGUCAGGUUGCGCGAAAGUGUUUCCUAAUCUUUAAAUCCGCUCGUGAUGGGGAUUGACGGUUGCAAUUUUCCGUCAUGAACGAGGAAUACCUUGUAAGCGCGGGUCAUCAUCCCGCGCUGAUUACGUCCCUGCCCUUUGUACACACCGCCCGUCGCUCCUACCGAUUGAGUGGUCCGGUGAGGCUUUGGGAUCUGAGCGGAAAGAGCGUUUCGCUGUUUCUGCCCGGAAAACUCAGUCGAACCUUAUCAUUUAGAGGAAGGAGAAGUCGUAACA
This 322-nucleotide ribosomal RNA is filed under the name uncultured eukaryote. Its description in RNAcentral is "partial 18S ribosomal RNA". It matches the Rfam family "Eukaryotic small subunit ribosomal RNA", at positions 1470 to 1796 of the family's 1831-position model. The record is from RNAcentral.